ACCAGGAUGGCCGAGUGGUUAAGGCGUUGGACUUAAGAUCCAGUGGACGUGUCCUCGUGGGUUCAAACCCCACUCCUGGUA
Molecule: transfer RNA, 81 nt
Filed under: Ameiurus melas (black bullhead)
Lineage: Eukaryota; Metazoa; Chordata; Actinopteri; Siluriformes; Ictaluridae
Rfam family: tRNA
About the family: Transfer RNA (tRNA) molecules are approximately 80 nucleotides in length. Their secondary structure includes four short double-helical elements and three loops (D, anti-codon, and T loops).
Source: Rfam by way of RNAcentral